This is a long non-coding RNA of Amaranthus tricolor (Joseph's coat), 475 nucleotides long. RefSeq lists it as uncharacterized. The transcript has 3 exons. NCBI's taxonomy places the organism in Eukaryota, Viridiplantae, Streptophyta, Magnoliopsida, Caryophyllales, Amaranthaceae. The record is from RefSeq and is a predicted model, not a curated record.
CAAACCACAAGAAGUGUAGUAGCCAAAAUAUUUCUUGUAGCUGCCUUUGAAUUUUGCUGUAAGUGAGGGAAACGAAGCUUAACUUUGCUUCUGUUUGAGUGGGCAUUGAUCCAAGCCAAAGUUGAUUUAUUUUGGUUGAUUGGGCACCGAAAAUCUUCUUGUGGCCUCUGAUUUUGCCGCCAAACAAGGAGGAGGCGAUAUCUUCAAGGAACCCUUCUAGUUGAUAGUCGUGGUCUGGAUUCAACUCGUUGAAGCAUCUUUUGUUUGUUUACAGAUCGAAACCGGCCGGGAACGAUGGUUUAGCGGAUUUGAUCAGAGUUCCAAGGAUGUUAUUUUGAGCUGAGCACGUUAGAAUUUUGUAGUUUUGUAUUAGGCUUUGGUAAUUGUAAAUUAGUCUAGACUGUAUUUGUUAUCUUGGACUUUUAUAGGGACUUUAUGAUUACUUUAUGAAAUAGAUAGAUGUUUGGAAUGCGAA